Molecule: long non-coding RNA, 408 nt
Organism: Strigops habroptila (Kakapo)
Lineage: Eukaryota; Metazoa; Chordata; Aves; Psittaciformes; Psittacidae
Exons: 3
Source: RefSeq, a predicted model, not a curated record
ACUUGCAAAUUUCAAUACUUAAGAGUUUGCAACCAAUAUUUAGAGAUCGUAUGUAUAUAUACUUGUGUAUAUUGCAAAGAUCUGUAAUCCUUCAUAUCUCCCAGGUCACUUUAAGUACCACAGCAAAUCGACGUGGUAUAAUACUAGCUCCAUCCUAAUAUACCAGUAGCACAACUCAGUGGCAAAGAUGCAUUUUUACAAUCUAUAAAUAUAUAUAAAUUGUGACUGUAUUCUAUUUCCCAUAAUAUAGUUAUGGGAAUACAUGACAAAGUCAUUUCCCACAUCUAGAUUUGUACUGUGCCUUGUCUUUUUCUGUUCCUAAAUUCACUUCUCCAUAAGCACUAUGGAAAUUUGUAUAUGGAAGACAGCAUAUUCAUGGGAGAUUUUAAAUUCCUGGGAACUUCAAAU